CUGGAGGUAUCAGAAGUGCGAAUGCUGACAUAAGUAACGAUAAAGCGGGUGAAAAGCCCGCUCGCCGGAAGACCAAGGGUUCCUGUCCAACGUUAAUCGGGGCAGGGUGAGUCGACCCCUAAGGCGAGGCCGAAAGGCGUAGUCGAUGGGAAACAGGUUAAUAUUCCUGUACUUGGUGUUACUGCGAAGGGGGGACGGAGAAGGCUAUGUUGGCCGGGCGACGGUUGUCCCGGUUUAAGCGUGUAGGCUGGUUUUCCAGGCAAAUCCGGAAAAUCAAGGCUGAGGCGUGAUGACGAGGCACUACGGUGCUGAAGCAACAAAUGCCCUGCUUCCAGGAAAAGCCUCUAAGCAUCAGGUAACAUCAAAUCGUACCCCAAACCGACACAGGUGGUCAGGUAGAGAAUACCAAGGCGCUUGAGAGAACUCGGGUGAAGGAACUAGGCAAAAUGGUGCCGUAACUUCGGGAGAAGGCAC
RNAcentral lists this ribosomal RNA (474 nucleotides) under Escherichia coli. Its description in RNAcentral is "partial 23S ribosomal RNA". It matches the Rfam family "Bacterial large subunit ribosomal RNA", at positions 1273 to 1749 of the family's 2925-position model. The record is from RNAcentral. Lineage: Bacteria; Pseudomonadati; Pseudomonadota; Gammaproteobacteria; Enterobacterales; Enterobacteriaceae. RNAcentral also lists the same sequence under 1 other name.